AGGGUUGUAGUUAAUAAUAACAUUUGAAUUGCACUCAAAAAGUACUGAAUACAGUCUGCCUUA
This 63-nucleotide transfer RNA is filed under the name Anelytra obtusa. Its description in RNAcentral is "tRNA-Ala". The record is from RNAcentral. Lineage: Eukaryota; Metazoa; Arthropoda; Insecta; Orthoptera; Tettigoniidae.